This 253-nucleotide ribosomal RNA is filed under the name uncultured bacterium. RNAcentral describes it as "partial 16S ribosomal RNA". It matches the Rfam family "Bacterial small subunit ribosomal RNA", at positions 524 to 776 of the family's 1533-position model. The record is from RNAcentral.
UACGUAGGGGGCUAGCGUUGUCCGGAAUCAUUGGGCGUAAAGCGCGCGUAGGCGGCCAGAUAAGUCCGGUGUGAAAGCCACAGGCUCAACCUGUGAAUGCCGCUGGAAACUGUCUGGCUAGAGUCCGGGAGGGGCGAGUGGAAUUCCUGGUGUAGCGGUGAAAUGCGUAGAUAUCUGGAGGAACACCGGUGGCGAAGGCGGCAUCCUGGACCGGCAUUGACGCUGAGGCGCGAAAGCCAGGGGAGCAAACGGG